Molecule: non-coding RNA, 25 nt
Filed under: Gossypium hirsutum (cotton)
Lineage: Eukaryota; Viridiplantae; Streptophyta; Magnoliopsida; Malvales; Malvaceae
Source: RNAcentral
ACUACCAGAGUUGAUGAACCGGCCA